GGCAGCCCUGUCCAAUUCAGCGCCGUCCGCUGCGGUCGGUGCUGGCCCAGCCGGCUGCUACGGAAAUACCUGCAGCUCGUGGGCCCCACGUCGUGGGAUCGCGGGAUGGUUUGGGUGGGAAGGGACCU
This is a non-coding RNA of Pygoscelis adeliae (Adelie penguin), 128 nucleotides long. The record is from Rfam. Lineage: Eukaryota; Metazoa; Chordata; Aves; Sphenisciformes; Spheniscidae.